CGGUCUCUCCCCAUUUUACCAAGCAGCCGGCCAGACCUCUGUCUUAUUUUCUACUCUGUCCAUAUCAUUUGAGUUUUCCAUGCGUUUCUACCUCAGCCUCUGAAGCUUUUACCGAGUGCCCCAGGUGAGGGUCCAAGUCUCUAUCCACGACUGCAGAAAUUACCUGGGACUUUUUGACAAUUAUUCCUUUUUUGCUACAUUCUUGGAGUUGCCGGUGUGGCUGUUUCUGCGCGCGAUUGAGAGAGGAAGCCUAGUGUUGCUCUUUGCCCUGGGGGUCUGUGUACACCGUUGACCAGAGGAGAAGACUACCUGUCACCAUGGUGAACGUUCAGCUGCUGUUCCUGCUGGCCCUGGCCGGCCCCUUCUGUGCCAUCGCACGCGCAAGCACACUGGUGUCACCAACAGGCCCAGAGCAUGUGACAGAUGCCACUGACGCCCUCGGACAAGGUGCCACCAUCACAGGUGCGCCGCAAGCUGAAACUAUAACUGCAGUUGAUGAGGUCAUGACGGAAAUCGCUCCCACCACAGAAGCUGACACAGAAGUUGCCCCAAAAACUGCCACAGAACCAGCCCCUGAAGCUACUGAAGCUAUUGCCAUGACGAGUGAAGCCCCCGUUGCUCCUACCGACAACACAGAGCAGGAGAUGCCCACAACAAAGAUCCCUGACAUUGUGAAGGAACCCACGGUAGAGAUCAAACACGAGGAGGAGGUGGAGGUAGAAGAGCCAGAGGAGGGCAUUGGCUCUGGACAAGUGGCUGGUAUUGUGAUUGGUGCAUUGGUGGCAGUGAUUAUCGUUAUUGCCGUGGUGAUCGUUGUGGUGAGAAGAAUGGGCAAAUACUCGGCUGCUGCUGCUUCCUCUAAGAAAAUGGCGGACAAAAAA
This is a long non-coding RNA of Esox lucius (northern pike), 881 nucleotides long. NCBI's taxonomy places the organism in Eukaryota, Metazoa, Chordata, Actinopteri, Esociformes, Esocidae. The record is from Ensembl.